Molecule: ribosomal RNA, 328 nt
Filed under: uncultured eukaryote
Lineage: Eukaryota
Description: partial 18S ribosomal RNA
Rfam family: Eukaryotic small subunit ribosomal RNA
Source: RNAcentral
CCCUUAGAUGUUCUGGGCCGCACGCGCGCUACACUGACGGAGCCAACGAGUAUUUUCCUUGUCCGGAAGGACUGGGUAAUCUUGUGAAACUUUGUCGUGCUGGGGAUAGAGCAUUGUAAUUAUUGCUCUUCAACGAGGAAUUCCUAGUAAGCGUGAGUCAUCAGCUCGCGUUGAUUACGUCCCUGCCCUUUGUACACACCGCCCGUCGCUCCUACCGAUUGAAUGUGUUGGUGAGGAGCUCGGAUUGGCAGCAGUUGGUGGUUCGCCACCGGCUAUUGCUGAGAAGUCCUCCAAACCGCCCCAUUUAGAGGAAGGAGAAGUCGUAACA